This 505-nucleotide ribosomal RNA is filed under the name uncultured bacterium. RNAcentral's name for it is "bacterial SSU rRNA". It matches the Rfam family "Bacterial small subunit ribosomal RNA", at positions 29 to 524 of the family's 1533-position model. The record is from RNAcentral.
AUUGAACGCUGGCGGAAUGCUUUACACAUGCAAGUCGAACGGCAGCACGGGGGCAACCCUGGUGGCGAGUGGCGAACGGGUGAGUAAUACAUCGGAACGUGCCCAGUCGUGGGGGAUAACGUAGCGAAAGCUACGCUAAUACCGCAUACGAUCUACGGAUGAAAGCGGGGGACUCGCAAGGGCCUCGCGCGAUUGGAGCGGCCGAUGGCAGAUUAGGUAGUUGGUGGGGUAAAGGCNCACCAAGCCGACGAUCUGUAGCUGGUCUGAGGGGACGACCAGCCACACUGGGACUGAGACACGGCCCAGACUCCUACGGGAGGCAGCAGUGGGGAAUUUUGGACAAUGGGCGCAAGCCUGAUCCAGCCAUUCCGCGUGCAGGAUGAAGGCCCUCGGGGUUGUAAACUGCUUUUUGUACGGAACGAAAAGGCGCCGGUUAAUACCUGGCGCUGAUGACGGUACCGUAAGAAUAAGCACCGGCUAACUACGUGCCAGCCGCCGCCGUAAG